This 2905-nucleotide ribosomal RNA is filed under the name Clostridium perfringens NCTC 8239. RNAcentral's name for it is "bacterial LSU rRNA". It matches the Rfam family "Bacterial large subunit ribosomal RNA". Lineage: Bacteria; Bacillati; Bacillota; Clostridia; Eubacteriales; Clostridiaceae. The record is from RNAcentral.
GGUCAAGCUACAAAGGGCGCAUGGUGAAUGCCUUGGCAUCAGGAGCCGAUGAAGGACGUGAUAAGCUGCGAUAAGCUUCGGGUAGGCGCACAUAGCCUGAGAUCCGAAGAUCUCCGAAUGAGGAAACUCACAUGGGAAACCCCAUGUAUCAUUAAGUGAAUACAUAGCUUAAUGAAGGUAACCCAGGGAACUGAAACAUCUAAGUACCUGGAGGAAGAGAAAGAAAAAUCGAUUUUCUUAGUAGCGGCGAGCGAAAGGGAAAGAGCCCAAACCGGAAACUUGUUUCCGGGGUUGUGGACAUAGCAUGAAAGUGGAGGCUAUUGUAACUGAAGAGAACUGGAAAGUUCCACCGUAGAAGGUAAUAGUCCUGUAAGUGAAACGAGAAGACCACGAGUUAUGAUCCAGAGUACCACGAGACACGUGAAACCUUGUGGGAAGCAGGGAGGACCACCUCCCAAGGCUAAAUACUACCUGAUGACCGAUAGUGAAGCAGUACCGUGAGGGAAAGGUGAAAAGAACCCCGGGAGGGGAGUGAAAUAGAACCUGAAACCGUGUGCCUACAACCGCUCAGAGCCCCUUAUGAGGGUGAUGAGGUGCUUUUUGUAGAACGAGCCAACGAGUUACGGUAUGUAGCAAGGUUAAGUACUUAAGGUACGGAGCCGAAGGGAAACCGAGUCUGAAUAGGGCGACUAGUUGCAUGCCGUAGACCCGAAACCGGGUGACCUAUCCAUGGCCAGGUUGAAGCGAGGGUAAAACCUCGUGGAGGACCGAACCACGUUGCUGUUGAAAAAGCAUGGGAUGAGCUGUGGAUAGCGGAGAAAUUCCAAUCGAACCCGGAGAUAGCUGGUUCUCUCCGAAAUAGCUUUAGGGCUAGCGUCGAGUAUGAGUAGUGGAGGUAGAGCACUGAAUGGGCUAUGGGGCAUAGCGCUUACCGAACCUUAUCAAACUCCGAAUGCCACAUACUUUGAGCUCGGCAGUCAGACUACGAAUGAUAAGAUCCGUGGUCAAAAGGGAAACAGCCCAGAUCGUCAGCUAAGGUCCCAAAGUGUAAGUUAAGUGGGAAAGGAUGUGAGAUUUCUAAGACAACUAGGAUGUUGGCUUAGAAGCAGCCAUUCAUUAAAAGAGUGCGUAAUAGCUCACUAGUCGAGAGAUCUUGCGCCGAAAAUGUAACGGGGCUAAACUUACCACCGAAGCUACGGGCUUGAACUUAGUUCAAGCGGUAGGAGAGCGUCGUAACCGGGCUGAAGUCGUACCGUAAGGAGCGGUGGACUGGUUACGAGUGAGAAUGUUGGCAUCAGUAGCGAGAUGUGGGUGAGAAUCCCACAGGCCGAAAACCUAAGGUUUCCUCAGGAAGGUUCGUCCGCUGAGGGUUAGUCGGGACCUAAGCCGAGGCCGAAAGGCGUAGGUGAUGGACAACUGGUUGAUAUUCCAGUACCACUACCAUCGUUAUUAUCGAUGGCGUGACGCAGGAGGAUAGUGUGUGCUAGCUAUUGGAUGCUAGUCUAAGCGUUUAGGCAGUGAGAGUAGGCAAAUCCGCUCUCAUAAUGCUGAGGCGUGAUGGGGAAGGUUCUACGGAACCGAAGUACAUGAUUCCACGCUGCCAAGAAAAGCGUCUAGAGAGAGAAGUAGUGCCCGUACCGCAAACCGACACAGGUAGGUGAGGAGAGAAUCCUAAGGCCGGCGGAAGAAUUACAGUUAAGGAACUCGGCAAAUUGACCCCGUAAGUUCGCGAGAAGGGGUGCCUACGAGAGUAGGCCGCAGAGAAUAGGCCCAAGCAACUGUUUAGCAAAAACACAGGUCUCUGCUAAAGCGUAAGCUGAUGUAUAGGGGCUGACGCCUGCCCGGUGCUGGAAGGUUAAGGGGAACACUUAGCGCAAGCGAAGGUGUGAACUUAAGCCCCAGUAAACGGCGGCCGUAACUAUAACGGUCCUAAGGUAGCGAAAUUCCUUGUCAGGUAAGUUCUGACCCGCACGAAUGGCGUAAUGACUUGGGCACUGUCUCAACUGUAAAUCCGGCGAAGUUGUAGUGCGAGUGAAGAUGCUCGCUACCCGCGAUUGGACGGAAAGACCCCGUAGAGCUUUACUGUAGCUUAGCAUUGAGUUUUGGUAUUGUCUGUACAGGAUAGGUGGGAGACUAGGAAACCAGGGCGUCAGCCUUGGUGGAGUCAACCUUGGGAUACCACCCUGACAGUACUGAAAUUCUAACUGGCGGCCAUGAAUCUGGUCACAGGACAUUGUUAGGUGGGCAGUUUGACUGGGGCGGUCGCCUCCUAAAAAGUAACGGAGGCGCCCAAAGGUUCCCUCAGAACGGUCGGAAAUCGUUCGAAGAGUGCAAAGGCAGAAGGGAGCCUGACUGCGACACCCACAAGUGGAGCAGGGACGAAAGUCGGGCUUAGUGAUCCGGUGGUACCUCGUGGGAGGGCCAUCGCUCAACGGAUAAAAGCUACCUCGGGGAUAACAGGCUGAUCUCCCCCAAGAGUCCACAUCGACGGGGAGGUUUGGCACCUCGAUGUCGGCUCGUCGCAUCCUGGGGCUGAAGUAGGUCCCAAGGGUUGGGCUGUUCGCCCAUUAAAGCGGCACGCGAGCUGGGUUCAGAACGUCGUGAGACAGUUCGGUCCCUAUCCGUCGCGGGCGUAGGAAAUUUGAGAGGAGCUGUCCUUAGUACGAGAGGACCGGGAUGGACUGACCUCUGGUGUACCAGUUGUUCCGCCAGGAGCACAGCUGGGUAGCUAAGUCGGGAAUGGAUAAACGCUGAAAGCAUCUAAGCGUGAAGCCAACCUCAAGAUGAGAUUUCCCAUAGCGUAAGCUAGUAAGAUCCCUUGAAGAACACAAGGUUGAUAGGUCGGGGGUGUAAGCAUGGUAACAUGUUCAGCUGACCGAUACUAAUAGAUCGAGGGCUUGACCAA